RNAcentral lists this ribosomal RNA (566 nucleotides) under uncultured fungus. RNAcentral describes it as "eukaryotic LSU rRNA". The stretch from base 223 to 376 matches the Rfam family "5.8S ribosomal RNA". The record is from RNAcentral. Lineage: Eukaryota; Fungi.
AAGUCGUAACAAGGUUUCCGUAGGUGAACCUGCGGAAGGAUCAUUAAAAAAAGAGAAACGUCCCGUUUUUUUUCAUAAGAAUGGGUUCUAUUCCCUUAAACCGUGUCUACAUACCUUUGUUGCUUUGGCAGGCCGCCUUCGGGCGUCGGCUCCGGCUGAUAGUGCCUGCCAGAGGACCCAAACUCUAUGUUUAGUGAUGUCUGAGUACUAUAUAAUAUUUAAAACUUUCAACAACGGAUCCCUUGGUUCUGGCAUCGAUGAAGAACGCAGCGAAAUGCGAUAAGUAAUGUGAAUUGCAGAAUUCAGUGAAUCAUCGAAUCUUUGAACGCACAUUGCGCCCCUUGGUAUUCCGAGGGGCAUGCCUGUUCGAGCGUCAUUAUAACCACUCAAGCCUGGCUUGGUAUUGGGGUUUUCGCGUGUUCGCGGCCCUUAAAAUCAGUGGCGGUGCCGUCUGGCUCUAAGCGUAGUAAUUUCUCUCGCUAUAGGGUUCCGGUGGUUACUUGCCAAAACCCCCCAUUUUUUUCUAGGUUGACCUCGGAUCAGGUAGGGAUACCCGCUGAACUUAA